This 1122-nucleotide long non-coding RNA is filed under the name Lactuca sativa (garden lettuce). RNAcentral describes it as "long non-coding RNA (LSAT_LNC008641)". Lineage: Eukaryota; Viridiplantae; Streptophyta; Magnoliopsida; Asterales; Asteraceae. The record is from RNAcentral.
GGUUUAAAAACCUAAACCGGUGUUAGGAGCCGGAACCGGAUUUAAGAGACCGAAUCUGGUUGAUACUAAAUUUUAGAACUUAAGCACUAUGGAGAUGCAAAAGAGGAUAAUGUCUAUGAACCAAAAAUAUUAAAAUGAUUAGACUAAACGGAGUGGGGGUGUCAAACUUACUCGCCAGCUCACCAGCGAUCCAGGAACACCGUCCCCAAGCUCUUGCUAGGAGGGUCGCCACUCAUGCCUCGUUACAGAUUUGGCGAGAAGAGGGAGAGACUGAGGGAGCAAUUCAAUUGGUAAAAAAUCCCCCAAAUCUCCAUCACAAAACCACACAGAGUCAUCUUCAUCUAGGUAAUCCCAAAUUUCAAUUCUCAACACUUGGAUUACACUUUAACCUUGUUUAAUUUGAUAGUUUUUGUAUGUGGGAAAUCAUGAACCUUCAAAGUUAAUGACAACAAUCAACCGCAAAGCUUGCUUUGGUAACAAUGGCAGGUGGGGUCUUAACAUUUGGAUCAAUCGAUCCAGCUUUCACAGCAAAAUCCGGCGGCCGGUCGGUUGUCAGGCGUUCGGUUCUGCCCCAAAUCAAUCGGCACCUCGUUCGUCUUCACCAAGAAUCAAUAACUCAAGGUAAUUUCUGGGUUAUAUAUAAGGUAAUUUAUAGGUUACAUAUUCUCUAUAACAAAGUGAUUUGAUGUUUAUUUAUGUGGUGGCAGAACCAAUAUUUAGAUCAACCCACCGGUUGCACCACCGCUGAUCAGUGGAUACAAUUGUGGGUAUGGUGGUUGGGGGUGGUCGUCGUUUUCAUUCUUUGCACCUGGGCCUAGUGUGCCGGUGGGUUUGAUACCUUGGUGUUUUUUAUGCUUCUUCGUGCUGCAGCAGAUGUCGUUGGAAGGUUCUUUAGAUCCAGGAAUGAUUAUGAUGAUGAAGAUUACUGGUAAAUUUUUGUGUAGAAGACCACACUUAAAUGUAUGAUUAUUUUUAGAUGUAUAGAUCACAUAACAGGGUGAAUAUCACUUGAUAAACUUGAUGUUGAUAUAAAUUUGAUUCGAGUACGAGGAGUGUUAUCAAUCCCUAAAUGUUAAAUGUUAAAGUUAAAUGAGAAAAAAAUAAAAAAUAACUCAAAAAGUU